RNAcentral lists this ribosomal RNA (487 nucleotides) under uncultured bacterium. Its description in RNAcentral is "bacterial SSU rRNA". It matches the Rfam family "Bacterial small subunit ribosomal RNA", at positions 40 to 507 of the family's 1533-position model. The record is from RNAcentral.
CGGCGUGCCUAAUACAUGCAAGUCGAGCGGAAUGAUGAAGAAGCUUGCUUCUUCUGAUUUUAGCGGCGGACGGGUGAGUAACACGUGGGCAACUACCUUGUAGAUUGGGAUAACUCCGGGAAACCGGGGCUAAUACCGAAUAAUCCAUUUUGCUUCAUGGCGAGAUGUUGAAAGACGGUUUCGGCUGUCACUAUAAGAUGGGCCCGCGGCGCAUUAGCUAGUUGGUAGGGUAAUGGCCUACCAAGGCGACGAUGCGUAGCCGACCUGAGAGGGUGAUCGGCCACACUGGGACUGAGACACGGCCCAGACUCCUACGGGAGGCAGCAGUAGGGAAUCUUCCACAAUGGACGAAAGUCUGAUGGAGCAACGCCGCGAGAGUGAAGAAGGUUUUCGGAUCAUAAAACUCUGUUGUAAGGGAAGAACACGUACGAGAGUAACUGCUCGUACCUUGACGGUACCUUAUUAGAAAGCCACGGCUAACUACGUG